RNAcentral lists this long non-coding RNA (1961 nucleotides) under Paramuricea clavata. Lineage: Eukaryota; Metazoa; Cnidaria; Anthozoa; Malacalcyonacea; Plexauridae. The record is from RNAcentral.
GUAAAACGCGGAAUAGAGGGUAAAACGCGGAAUAGAGGGUAAAACGCGGAAAAGAGGGUAAAACGCGGAAAAAAGGGUAAAACGCGGAAAAGAGGGUAAAACGCGGAAAACAAACUUUGAAACCAAACUAUACUUAAAACUUCGUUUAAGAUAGUUUGUUUUAGGUUUUGGAGUGCUAAAUCAGUAUCAUUACUUCGAAGAUUAUAUUCUCUAUUAAGAUGUUUAAUUUUUAUAAAUUUUUCUCUAAGACUUGGAGCGGACUGCUCAUUAAGAAUUUUAUACAUCAAAACGCUGUUCACCCAAUGACGUCUUACAUCAUAUGCCCACCGACUAAUAAUCAUACACCUACUAUGUAAAGGCCGGUUUACACCAUCAAAGUUACUGUGAUCAAAGUGGCGUCAUCUCGCCCAAGCAAACCUGUGACUUAAAUACUUGUGGGUAGUAGCGGCCGUAUUUGUUUCGCGAGAAAAAAGAUUCACUUCGCCAUUACUGGAUAAGUAUAGCGGGUCAGUUAUAAUUCUCUCAAGUCUGUUAUUUAAUUUAAGAAAUGCCGACUUGACGCCAACGGAACCUGAUAAUUUGAGAAAAACACUUGCGGUUUGACAAAGAAUACCACCUACGCAGUAAUUGGCUAAUCGCUUUCAGUGCGAAUAUCUUGCCAUAGGCUUAGUCGCUUUAUAGAGAUAGUCUAUUCUGUAUUAUCCAUACAAGCGUCGAGUCUGCAAAAAUUUUCAUGAUACAUAUACUUAAAACAUAACAUUUUGACACUAAAUACACAACGAUUACCGCGCUGUCAGUGCAAGUUUUCUUUGCAUAUACACUGUAAAUUUCAAGGAGUUGAAUCAACUCCGCCGAGUGUUAUAUUGUAUCACUAAAAACGAUGACAGAAUAGCUAUUUUAGAGUUGUUUCAACUCCUUGAAAUUUACAGUUUAGACAACAUGUUUCACAAAUCUAAGGAACUGUGUACACCAUUUCAACGACCGAAUUAAUCAAAUUGUCAGAUAUUUAAUUUAAAUAACCCUGAGACUGCAAUCACGGCUUCAAUUUUUGAAUUGCAGAAUAAUUAGGUGCACUAUCUAGUGUAUAUAGGAUAUCUAUGAUAAGAUGUCUAAAUUUUACCAGUUUUAUAAUGCAAAGUCAAAACAUUUUCAAUUGCACUGAGGUUUGGAUUGGUAUAAAACUUACUAAUGGACUUUAUAUUUCAGAAUAUAGCUUUUAUAGAAUAUAUUUUUGCGGAAAAUGUUAGCGUUAAAUUUUUCCGGAAAAUGUUACAUUAUGGGUAAUUACAUAAUGGGCGGGGAGAGAGGGGGUUUACAUACACUAGUUUUACAUAAUGGGGGCUUAAAUGUAGUUAUUCAUACCAUUUUUUAUGGGUGGUGUUAUUAUUUGGGGGUCGGUUACACCCCCCAUACACCCCAGUAGUUAUGUAGGUUAAUUGAGUGUAAUAUUUGAGUUAUCAGGGUUGUUAAUAAUAUCAGAAUAUCGUAAACGUAUGAGUAUUUUAUGACAUAACACACGCCCUUCGUGGAAAUCAUAGUUGAAGGGACUACCGGACUAGUGUGUAUAAUUUUUAAAUAAAUACAGUUUUACCAAGCUACAUACCUACCGCGCAAAAAGAAAACAAUUCUAAAACUUUUUUUCCGCGUUUUACCCUCUUUUCCUUCAAGUAUCAGUUAAACUAGUCCUUUCGUUAACUGUGACUGUCAAAAGUAUAGUGAUAAAUGAAAUAACAUUACCCUGUCAGUUAUAUGACACCAUAACUUGUGUUUAAUUAAGUCGAGUCAGCGUGUUCCCAAACGACUCGUAAGAGUUAUUUGAAAGCAAAUUUUUCAUGAUAUUUACCAUUUUACCUUUCAAAACAUAACAUUUUGUCACUAAAUACGUCACUUUUUGCGCGUGUAAACAUACAAUUUUUUAACGGCUUUUCAAAGAAGAUUUGCGCGCUGCGGGCAAGUUUUCU